GUGAACAUAGUUUAAUAAAAAUCCUAGCCUGUGAUUCUAGAGAAGAGAGC
RNAcentral lists this transfer RNA (50 nucleotides) under Limnodynastes depressus. Its description in RNAcentral is "partial transfer RNA-His". The record is from RNAcentral. Lineage: Eukaryota; Metazoa; Chordata; Amphibia; Anura; Limnodynastidae.